AUGGACCGGUUCCACGACAGGCAGCACGUGUGGCUGCGGAGCCGCGUGCACGGCACGUACCUCAACGCCAACAGCGACGGGAAGACCGUCUCCCUCCGCGGCCGCCGCGCCUCGCUGAAGGCCGCGUGGACAGUGCACAUCUACCACGGAGAGGGAGACGCCGUGUACCUGCUCCUCCACAGCGCCGCCUACGGCCGCUACCUCGCCGCCACGGCCACGCCGGCGCCGCUCGGCCACAACGGCUUCCGCGCCGAGCAGCCCGACUACGAUGAGCCGGAGAUGCAGGCCAUCAUGUGGCAGGCCGUCGGGGCGGGCUUCGGUGACGACGUCAUGCUCCGCAACGUCGGCGGCCGCUACCUCCGCGCCAACGGCAGGUACCUCGGCUGGAACACCGGCGUCAGCGUCGAGGACACGGACCACGUCAGCACCAUGAUGUACUGGAUCGUCGAGACCAUCCCCGCCAGAGAGGCGGGCAUGCCUGACCUUCCUGGCCCGCCCAACCGCGUGCUCUACAUCAUGCUCGGCCAGGCGUGGCGGCUGAUCGUGUUCGUGCGAGCGACCGCCGAGGGGUUCUACGGCGAGGACGGCUGGUUCUUGUUCCCUUUCAGGGGGAGGUCCGUGAACUACCUGAGGGACGAGCUGGCCGACGGCGUCGCUUUCAUCGACGGCCAGCCCCCCGCCGGCAUCGCCAUGUGCGUCCGAGCGGGCCGCUACGGGAGGCUGACUCCACUCGUCGUCGACCUGACCCGCUACGCUGGCCACGCCGAGACCCUCCAGAUUGUCGUGAUGCUGUCCGGGACCCCUGCGUACGAUGAUCUGCGAUAUCCAGAUGUGGACGCAGUGUAG
Molecule: ribosomal RNA, 846 nt
Filed under: Triticum aestivum (bread wheat)
Lineage: Eukaryota; Viridiplantae; Streptophyta; Magnoliopsida; Poales; Poaceae
Description: partial small subunit ribosomal RNA
Source: RNAcentral